This is a long non-coding RNA of Cyprinus carpio (common carp), 486 nucleotides long. RefSeq lists it as uncharacterized. The record is from RefSeq and is a predicted model, not a curated record. Lineage: Eukaryota; Metazoa; Chordata; Actinopteri; Cypriniformes; Cyprinidae. The transcript has 3 exons.
CGGCCAUAGCGGUCUCAGGACUCUGUCCGAGAUCAGUUUCGUUAGUUAAAUGCGCGCACAGGGAUAGCGAGGAACAGGUCGACGACUAAGCUUCUGGAUUUAUGUCACGUAUAUAGACAUCAGAAAACUUUUUUCGAAAGUUUCUUCUACUUCUUCCACUUUUUGGAGAGAAUUCAUCCCCUGGAAUUUGGUUGAAGCGCAGGACCUCGUGUGAUGCAAACAGUGAAUAUAGCCAUGAAGAUUUAUUGGAUUCUUGCACUAUUUCUAACUGGCGCUUCCUCUGUUUCUGUGGUGCUGAAUCACCCAACAUCACUUCCCUGCGGCAACUGUGAAAACGUCGUGUGGCGUAAGAUCUUCCCCAUAGAAGCAACUGUUGCCGACUGCCAAAAGCGGAAAUGCAUCAUAAAAGAAAGCUUUCGGCAAAGAUUCAACGUCAUGCAUGAAGAAAACAACUCCCUAUUUCUCAAGUCAGCAAAAUACAAUGAC